This 254-nucleotide ribosomal RNA is filed under the name uncultured bacterium. Its description in RNAcentral is "partial 16S ribosomal RNA". It matches the Rfam family "Bacterial small subunit ribosomal RNA", at positions 524 to 776 of the family's 1533-position model. The record is from RNAcentral.
UACAGAGGUCCCAAGCGUUGUUCGGAUUCAUUGGGCGUAAAGGGUGCGUAGGCGGCGCGGUAAGUCGGGUGUGAAAUCUCGGAGCUUAACUCCGAAACUGCAUUCGAUACUGCCGUGCUUGAGGACUGGAGAGGAGACUGGAAUUCAUGGUGUAGCAGUGAAAUGCGUAGAGAUCAUGAGGAAGACCAGUGGCGAAGGCGGGUCUCUGGACAGUUCCUGACACUGAGACACGGAAGGCCAGGGGAGCAAACGGG